UACGGAGGGUGCAAGCGUUGCUCGGAAUUAUUGGGCGUAAAGGGUAGGUAGGUGGUCUCAUUUGUCUGGGGUGAAAGCCUUGAGCUUAACUCAAGAAGUGCCCCAGAAACGGUGAGACUCGAGUACUGGAGAGGGUCGUGGAAUUCCCGGUGUAGCGGUGAAAUGCGUAGAGAUCGGGAGGAACACCGAUGGCGAAGGCAGCCUUCUGGGCCAACACUGACGCUCAUGCACGAAAGCGUGGGGAGCAAACAGG
This 253-nucleotide ribosomal RNA is filed under the name uncultured bacterium. RNAcentral's name for it is "partial 16S ribosomal RNA". It matches the Rfam family "Bacterial small subunit ribosomal RNA", at positions 524 to 776 of the family's 1533-position model. The record is from RNAcentral.